RNAcentral lists this ribosomal RNA (373 nucleotides) under uncultured organism. Its description in RNAcentral is "bacterial SSU rRNA". It matches the Rfam family "Bacterial small subunit ribosomal RNA", at positions 526 to 896 of the family's 1533-position model. The record is from RNAcentral.
CGGGGGGAGCAAGCGUUGUUCGGAUUACUGGGCGUAAAGGGCGCGUAGGCGGCCUCUGCAAGUCGACUGUGAAAUCUCCGGGCUUAACCCGGAAAGGUCAGCCGAUACUGCAGGGCUAGAGUGCAGAAGGGGCAACUGGAAUUCUCGGUGUAGCGGUGAAAUGCGUAGAUAUCGAGAGGAACACCUGCGGCGAAGGCGGGUUGCUGGGCUGACACUGACGCUGAAGUGCGAAAGCUAGGGGAGCGAACGGGAUUAGAUACCCCGGUAGUCCUAGCCUUAAACGAUGAAUGCUUGGUGUCUGGGGUUUUAUAGUCCCCGGGUGCCGUCGCUAACGCUUUAAGCAUUCCGCCUGGGGAGUACGGUCGCAAGACUG